GAAAUAGUCAUGACGUGUUUCCUGUUAGGGACGAAGGUCAAAUUCCAAACGUUCACACGACUGUUCACAGUUCUGGAAGCGAGAAUUCCAAGAGCCUUGUGUUGGCGAGGAAUGGGGCUCAUCAAAAUCCCCUUCUCCUCUUGCCCUGCCUGGAGAAAAGGCCCUGAAGACCCUUCCCCCGAGGACUGGGCUGCCUCAGGGGUAGAAGAUGUGGCGUGGAUGCUCCGAGCAGACACUUGGUCCCAAGGCCCAGCCAGGCAGUGGGAAAGGGUCCCUUCCAGAGGGUGUCAGCGAAUGGAGUGGAUCCAGUGGAGCAACGGAGGUUCCCAGAAGUAUAGCACUCUGGACCCCGAUGGCCACCUUUAUUCACACAAAGAAAGGGUUUUUCCAUUUGGAGGUCAACAUGUUGAAGCACCUGCUGGAGUUCCAUUGUGGCUCAGUGGGAAUGAAUCUGACUAGUAUCCAUGAGGAUGCAGGUUCAAUUCCUGGCCUUUCUCAGUGGGUUAAGGAUCUGAUAUUGCCGUGAUCUGUGGUGUAGGUUGAAGACGUGGCUCCAUCUGGUGUGGCUGUGGCAUAGGCUGGCAGCUACGUUUCCGACUCGCCCCCUCUAGCCUGGGAACCACCAUAUGCGGCAGGUGCGGCCCUAAAAAGACAAAACAAAAUAAAACAAACAAAAAAACAAAAAGCA
This 688-nucleotide long non-coding RNA is filed under the name Sus scrofa (pig). RNAcentral describes it as "lncRNA (ENSSSCG00030000292.1)". The record is from RNAcentral. Lineage: Eukaryota; Metazoa; Chordata; Mammalia; Artiodactyla; Suidae.